ACUGAAUGGAUAAUUUUUUUAACAAAGUUUGAACAAAUGUCACACAUUAAAAACACUUCUGAAAGUGUGAACACCAUAAAGAUUCAGAGAAUGAUUAUAAAAGAGACAAGUAACGAUUUGGGAUUAAUAUCUCCCAUUUUUACAUGAACUGCACCAUGCAUACCAAACAAAAAUAUUGUGCCUCAGAAUUCACACUUUGUUUUACUGUUUUAAAUUUUUAACACAAAUAAAAUCUCUAAGAGGGCACAUAAAGUAACAGAUUUAAAUAACUCAGGUUCUGAUUCUUCACCUUCAAGUCACUAAACUAUCAUUUAUUUCAUAUCUACCAUUUAAAUA
RNAcentral lists this long non-coding RNA (336 nucleotides) under Homo sapiens (human). Its description in RNAcentral is "non-protein coding lnc-ELAVL4-7:1". The record is from RNAcentral. Lineage: Eukaryota; Metazoa; Chordata; Mammalia; Primates; Hominidae.